This is a non-coding RNA of Salmo salar (Atlantic salmon), 826 nucleotides long. The record is from RefSeq and is a predicted model, not a curated record. Lineage: Eukaryota; Metazoa; Chordata; Actinopteri; Salmoniformes; Salmonidae.
UGUGUGUGUGUGUGUGUGUGUGUGUGUGCCCAUACUGGGGCAUUCAGAAGUGGUCUCUGUAGUAGCUGUAUCCCUCCUCUCACCCUGGUCCACUCAGCCAGCCACACAGCUCUCUGAUCCACAGCAAAGCUGCAGUAAGAUGAGGGAAGGACAGAGGGAUACUCAGCCAGCCACAUGGCUCUCUGAUCCACAGCAAAGCUGCAGUAAGGUGAGGGAAGGACAGAGGGACACUCAGCCAGCCACACGGCUCUCUGAUCCACAGCAAAGCUGCAGUAAGGUGAGGGAAGGACAGAGGGACACUCAGCCAGCCACACGGCUCUCUGAUCCACAGCAAAGCUGCAGUAAGGUGAGGGAAGGACAGAGGGACACUCAGCCAGCCACACGGCUCUCUGAUCCACAGCAAAGCUGCAGUAAGAUUUGAGAGACAGAAAGAGAGAGUUGAUUGAGCUGGGCCUUGAUGAGCUGAUCGAGCUGACGGCGCAGAGCCUGAGCCACCUAGAGAUUAAAGAGCACUUCAACAUCAUCAAGGAAAUGGUCCGGGGGGAGUAUGACAAGGUGUUGCUGGUCACCCAUCGCUGCAGGGGUAUCCAAGAGUGUGCUGUGAAGCGCUGUGUCCUUCAGAUCACCAGUGCCCUGGAGUUCAUCCACGAGCAUGGUCUGGUCCACCGUGACAUCAAGCCUGAGAACAUCCUGCUGCUGGACAGCCACUGCUGCUGGGUGACUACCUCAUGAAGCUGGUUGAGAGAAUGCCAAGAGUGUGCAAAGCUGUCAUCAAGGCGAAGGGUGACUACUUUGAAGAAUCUCAAAUAUACAAUAUGUUUUGAUU